UGGCUCAGAGGUUAAAGCGUCUGCCUGAAAUGCAGGAGACCUGGGUUCGAUCCCAG
Molecule: transfer RNA, 56 nt
Filed under: Bos taurus (domestic cattle)
Lineage: Eukaryota; Metazoa; Chordata; Mammalia; Artiodactyla; Bovidae
Also listed under: 2 other names
Rfam family: tRNA
About the family: Transfer RNA (tRNA) molecules are approximately 80 nucleotides in length.
Source: Rfam by way of RNAcentral